Long non-coding RNA from Hemicordylus capensis (graceful crag lizard), 6667 nucleotides. RefSeq lists it as uncharacterized. The transcript has 6 exons. The record is from RefSeq and is a predicted model, not a curated record. Lineage: Eukaryota; Metazoa; Chordata; Lepidosauria; Squamata; Cordylidae.
CCUAACCUACCUCACAGGCUUGUUGUGAGGGUAAACCUAAUCAUGUACACCGCUUCAAACACAGGAAGCAAUGAAGAAUCCACCUUCCCUUUUGAUCAAGCCCCAAAAGGUCAACCAAACCGAUAGAAAGCAGCUCUCGUCAAGGAGGAGGCCCAGGGGGAGCGGGGAGGAGUUCCCUCACUGGGGUGGGAUCCUUGCCCGGAAGGGGUUCCCAGGAGGCUGCUGCCACCAUCCACUUUAUUAUUUUGAUGUGGGGAAACACGCUCCCCAUAUCCGGUGCCUGGGGGUGGGGGAUUAAGGGGCCAAACCCUCCCCAAAGGGCUGAGCAGUCCUCGGCCUCCAAAGGCAGGUGCCGAAGGCAGACCCAGAGCAGCCAGGAUUUCGUUUCGGAUUCCAAGGAAAAGCGGUGCAGCAAGGACUUUUCAUCAAAGAGAUGACCAGAGAGAGGUCUCAGUAACCUGGCAAUGCAGAUCCCCAGCGAUCCUCACAGAAGAACCACUUCCCCCCGGAGGCCUUGCACGGAUGUCCUGCUCCUUCUUCCUCACAGGCUGCGGCCUUCCCAGCUCCCCAGCAGCUCUCGGCCUGCUUCUUCCUCGGGGUCCUCCUCCUCCUCCUCCUCCUCCUCCUCCUGGGACAGACUCACCAGGAGACCAGAGCUUCUGCUGGGGGUGAAGCCAGGAAUCCCACCCAGUCCUCUGAGCUGGUCCCUUUGAUUUGGCUCUAAGCGAGGCCUAGUCCUCCCUCCAGUCCUUACACGCAAAAUGAAGAGAGCAUCAAAGAACGGAAAACUUCUUCUGGCCAUGACUUCCUGAUGGGGGAAAGAAGGGCUGGAUAAGGGCCACAGCAAGUGGUUGUGUCAUAUAGACAGCUUCCAGGGUGUGUGGCGCCAUGGAUACAAAGAGCCAAGCUGACCAAGGAAAGAAGCUACUAGCCAGAGCAGCCAGUGACUGUGGGAGCGACGGAGGAACAGCAGCAUCCCGCUGAGAAUGCAAAGCAUUGAGGACCUUCCUGUAUUCCUCGGUAACCGCUGGAAAAGAGGUUGGGAGAAGCUAAGAGGAAGGAGAGAAGAGACUCUACAGUGGAAGAACACACUUUGGGAAGAGCAGGAUCAGCCCCUUUAUCAUUUUGGUUUCCCACUUCUGCUGCACGUUCUUCAGUUCGACAAUAUCCCCUUUUUAUAAUCUGGUGACCGGAACGAUACACAUUACUUCUGAGGAACGGCUACAACUGGAAACAAGGUCAGCUUCAUGUUGUUGUUGUUGUUGUUGUUGUUGUUGUUGCCAGUAAGCAACAUACCACCUUGGGUUUAUUCUCUCUUUUUGACAGUUAAAGCACCACAUUUUCAUUGAUGCCAGGAGAUGUUGAACAGUAGGGCACACAUCCUGGGCUGCCUCUGUUAUGGCACAAGAGAUAUUCCCAGACUGAUUGGGCAAGGUUUGGACCACAAUGUGUGUCUGGACAUUUAAAUUUGCAUUCUGAUUGGGCAAGACCUCUAGGGUUUUUAAAUUCUGUCUUGAUCGAAUUGGGCAAGAUCUCUAGGAUUUUUAAAUUGUAUAUGGAAUUGGGCAAGAUCAAGGCCUGUGUGGGCCUCGAUUUUUAAAUUGCAUACCCCAGCUUGAUAUUGACAUUUGUAUUCUGAUUGGGCAAGACCUCUAGGGUUUUUAAAUUCUGUAAGGAAUUGGGCAAUAUCAGGGCCUGCGUGGGCCUCGAUUUUUAAAUUGCAUCCCCCAGCUUGACAUUGACAUUUGUAUUCUGAUUGGGCAAGACCUCUAGGGUUUUUAAAUUCUGUAAAGAAUUGGGCAAGAUCAUGGCCUGUGUGGGCCUCGAUUUUUAAAUUGCAUCCCCCAGCUUGACUGAGCACACAAUCUCUACGUUCCCUUAGAGUGAAUUGGGCACGAUACCAUUAUUUUAAAUAAUUCCAUAUCUGUGCAGCAUUAGGCCAGUGGCCUGGAGUCCCAUGAGCUUGGAAUCUCCAAUGGCUCAACUGGGCAAGACAAUUGGUGUCUUUAAAUUCUGUCAGGGCCUUGUGGACAUAUUUUUUAGCCGGGGGUAGUGUUAUAUUUAGAUCGACUGACCACCCACUUUUAUUCAUGCUCUUGAUCAAGGUUGAAUCAAAUGGAUCACGUUGCGUGUUUUAUAUGCGCUGUGUCCCAAGUGUUGAGUGACCCAUGAAGACAUCACUUCUUGUUUAGUGCACUCAUGGCCAUCUCGGAUCCACAUUCCUUACUCAAGGAAAGCCUUGAUUUUGAAUGCUGGGCUCAAGGUUUUGAUGUUUUUCUGUCUAUUGAUAAAAUGGAAGGAAUCAUUUCACAUGCAAAUGUUUAAAUUGGUUGUGUCAUGCAAGUGUUUUGAGAACUGUCUUGACUAAAGAAAUAGUUUGAUUGCCUUGUCAGCAAGAAGGGUGGCUGCAGCCUAGGUGCAAAUCAUGCUAUCUUGCACAGACACAAAAAGCCUUGUGGAAGGUUGUUUCUUUGUUGAAGAUGAUGUUUAGCAUUUUAGCAUGCAAGACUCUUCAGACAUGGAUUGCAUGAACGCCUGGCCUGAGAAAUAGACACCAGAGUGAAUGGCCGUGAAUGCACCUGCUUAAGGAUAGGAAGGCAGAUCACCAAAGGCGGCAGGAGUCCACUGGUGUAGAUGGGAGGUUGGGAGAAGCUAAGAAGAAGGAGAGAAGAGACUCUACAGUGGAAGAACACACUUUGGGAAGAGCAGGAUCAGCCCCUUUAUCAUUUUGGUUUCCCUCUUCUGCUGCACCUUCUUCAGUUCGACAGAAUCUCUUUUUUGUAAUCGGGUGACCGGAACGAUACACAGUAAGUAUUCAAAAUGUGGCAAAAUACCAGGCUCUAGUUUCCCCAGGCACCAUGAAAUUGGGCCACACACCUCAUGCAGUUGGGAAAGAGCAAGCCGUAAAAAAUGUCUCUUCUUCCUGGCCCCAAACCCAGAGCAGACUGGCCCACCAGCCCUGUUCAAAGCAGGCCUUGAUCAGCCACAGUAAGCAUUGGAACCCUGGCCCAGUUUGAGCAGGGAGAACAGUAUGACUGGUCUUCUCCUCCCUCAGUGUUGCCAUCUUGCCCAGACAUUGCAGCUUUCAUAGAAACCCAAGCAAUGUGCCAGUAGUUAGUAUCUGAUCAGGACUUGGCUUCCAAUCCUCAUCCAGACUAAAGGUCCAUGGGGGAAACCUGAGCAAUCUCUUGCUACUUUCCCUACAUUAUGAGACAGUUGUGAGGUUAAAUCAUGAGUGGGGAGCACAGGAAGAGAUGGAUGUACAUUGCCCCAAGGUUUUCGGCCAAAGGGUGAAAUGAAAAAGUACUCAGAACAUUGCCUAACACAAUGUCUGUAUCAUUCACAGUUACUUCUGAGGAACAGCUACAACUGGAAACAACGUCAGCUUCAUGUUGCUGUUGUUGUUGUUGUUGUUGUUGUAACCCCAGUAAGCUUCCAUACCACCUUGGGUUUAUUCUCUCUUUUUGACAGUUAAAGCACUACAUUUUCAUUGACACCAGGAGAUGUUGAACAGUAGGGCACACAUCUUGGGGUACCUCUGUUAUGGCACAAGAGAUAUUCCCAGACUGAUUGGGCAAGGUUCGGACCACAAUGUGUGUCUGGACAUGUAAAUUUGCAUUCUGAUUGGGCAAGACCUCUAGGGUUUUUAAACUCUGUCUUGAUCGAAUUGGGCAAGAUCUCUAGGAUUUUUAAAUUGUAUAUGGAAUUGGGCAAGAUCAAGGCCUGUGUGGGCCUCGAUUUUUAAAUUGCAUCCCCCAGCUUGAUAUUGACAUUUGUAUUCUGAUUGGGCAAGACCUCUAGGGUUUUUAAACUCUGUCUUGAUCGAAUUGGGCAAGAUCUCUAGGGUUUUUAAAUUCUGUAAGGAAUUGGGCAAGAUCAGGGCCUGUGUGGGCCUCGAUUUUUAAAUUGCAUCCCUCAUCUUGACUGAGCACACAAUCUCUAGGUUCCCUUAGAGUGAAUUGGGCAUGAUACCAUUUUUUUAAAAUUCCAAGUCUGGGCAGCUUUAAGCCAGUGUACUGGAUUCCCAUGAGCUUGGAAUCUCCAAUGGCUCAACUGGGCAAGACAAUUGGUGUCUUUAAAUUCUGUCAGGUCCUUGUGGACAUAUUUUUCAGCCAGUUGUGUAGUGUUAAAUUUGGAUCGACUGACCACCCACAGAUAAAGUCUGAAUCAAAUGGAUCACGUUGCGUGUUUUAUAUGCUCUGUGUCCCAAGUGUUGAGUCACCCAUGAAGAGAUGACUUCUUGUUUAGUGCAUUCAUGGCCAUCUCGGAUCCUUAUUCCUUACUCAAGGAAAGCCUUGAUUUUGAAUGCUGGGCUCAAGGUUUUGAUGUUUUUCUGUCUAUUGAUAACAUGGAAGGAAUCAUUUCACAUGCAAAUGUUUAAAUUGGUUGUGUCAUGCAAGGGUUUUGAGAACUGUCUUGACUAAAGAAAUAGUUUGAUUGCCUUGUCAGCAAGAAAGGUGCCUACAGCCUAGGUGCAAAUCAUGCUUUCUUGCACACAGAUUGGGGGGGGGGGGGGCGGGAACCAACUUCUGUUCUAAGGUUGUGUCUUUGUUGAAGAUGAUGUUAAGCAUUUUAGCAUUCAAGACUCUUCAGACAUGGAUUGCAUGAACGCCCGGCCUGAGAAAUUGACACCAGAGUGAACGGAGGUGAAUGCACCUGCUUAAGGAGAGGAAGGCACAUCACCAAAGACGGCAGGAGUCCUGUGGUGAGGAUGGGGUGAGUGUACUGGGCCUGACUGGUUGGAUGAACCCCUAUCCAUACUGGGCCUUUUCCAUACCAGAUUCCAUUUAAAAAAAAAAAUUAAAGUUCGGCACUGACAUUUCUUAGUGACUCUCCUAGAUAGGUUGGGAAAAGUUAAGAAGAAAGCCAGAAGAAACUCUACAUUCGUCACAUGCACUUUAGUAAGGGCAGGAUCAGCCCCUUGAUCAUUUCAGUUUCCCUCUGCUGCACCGAUUGCAGCUCAACAAUAUUCCUUUUUUUUUUGCAGUCCAGUGACCAGAACGAUAAAGAGUAGGUAUCCCAACUGUGGCUAUCCCAUAGUCCAGGGCGGCACCACUCUGGCCCUCCUGUAGAUGUUUGACUACAAUUCCCAUGAUCCCUGACUACUGGCCACUGUGGAAGUCAUCCUAACUUCAACUGACUUGGAUGUAUGUCUUUUUGCAUUAACUUGAAUUCCAAGCUAUUCCAACCAGAGAUGCAUAUUCCUAGUUGUCAGCGUUGCCAGAGGUUUCCAGAGGCCUCUCCUUUUUAAAGGUAGCUUGCUUGUUCAAAUCCCUAUGGAUCUCUUCUCUAUGUGUUGCUGAUGGAGAUGCUUCUCCCCAAAUAAAACCAUAAACCAUGCAUUCGCUUCACAGUGGGUGGGAGGUUGCGGGACAGAUAGGUCCCUACCUGCAUGAGGUCUCACUUUUAUUGUUGCAGACUUCUGCUUCUUGGUCAGAAUUUUAGAUCUGCAAAACCGUGUUGGAGAGAAGGACAGCCUACUCCAUCCAUCGGAGCUCUUUUUACCUCAAUGAUAUUAUCCUUAUUAUUGUUAUUGAUGUUGUUGUUGUUGUUACUGCCACUUUUAAGAGCAUGCCAUAUCUCUGUUUCUCUGUCCUGAUCCGUUCAAUCAAUUCUGUUCAGUGAUUCUUUUCUAUUUAGCUGAUUGGGGGGAGCAACUGUCCCCCUCCUGGUGUUGUUGCUGGGGUCUACCAUCUUCCUUUUUAGAUUGCGAACCCUUUGGGAGCCGUCUUUCAUAUUUUAUCUACGUAAACUGCUUGGAGAUGGAAGGGGAGCUGAAAAGGCUUGAGAACAGCAGAGAUACUCUCAAGGCUGGCUUCUACGAAUCCUUCGGUGGACUGCAUCCUCCCCAGGACUCCGAUGACAGCAGCAAUGGACUGAGAGAGAACCUACAUUACGUGUUCAGGACUACAGAAAUCCCCCUCCCCUUGGCCUCGUGCAGAGGGGAGGGAGUGUGUCCCAGCCCCGCUCUGCAUGAGGACCAAGAAGCGGGCCGAUUGGCCCUUUGGGUUAGGGGGUGGGGUUUCGGCCGGGAUCAGCCGAUCCCCGCCCCGUUCUCCUCAGUUUUGGCCAGGCAUUCCCCUCCCUCCCUCCCUGGUACAGAGCGGGUCUAGCGACUGGUCGCCCAACGGGGCCGAGUAGGAAUUUUUUGCUCCCAACGCAUUGGCCACUGUUGUGGGUUUUUUCGCCUACUCCGUUCUGUGUUCCAGGUGUGUAGUUAGAGUUAGGCCGGUCACAAUGGCAGUAACAGUGCGGGCGGGGUGGUAAUUCGAGGGUUAGAACAUUGGUGAGCACCCUUGGAUUUUUAAAAGGGUGAUUGGUCAAUCGCUCCUUUGUGGCCUGUGUGGUACAGGGAGAAUGGAUUGCCAUGAAACCUGCUUCAGGACUUCACCCACCUUUGGGCUGAGCGGUCCGGGGUGGGUGAAGACCUUGAAGUAUCCAGAUCCUCUCUUACAAAGGGGGGGUUGGCUUUGAAGGAAUUGGGCGGGGCGUACCUGCCCGUUUCCCGAGCCAGGGUGUGUCGCCCAGUAAGGUGCUGGGUAGGACGUCAGAGUUCUAACCCGGUCCUAUUGGCCCGCACUGUUCUCUAAGGGUGAUUAAUCACCUGGUGUUCCCGUCCGCCAUGUCUUUUGUUACAGUUAAUAAAGUUGUGGCCCUUUUACCCAUA